GUCUUAUUGAUUAUAAUUUUAAGUCUAAUCUGCCCAAUGAUAAAUUAAAUGGCUGCAGUAUUCUAACUGUACAAAGGUAGCAUAAUAAUUAGUUUCUUAAUUAGGAACUGGAAUGAAUGAUUGGACGAAAUAAUGACUGUCUUAGUUUAAAUUUUAGAAUUUUAUUUUUAAGUUAAAAAGCUUAAAUUUUUUUAAAAGACGAGAAGACCCUAUAGAAUUUUAUAUUAUUUAAAUUUUUUAUUAUUAGAAUUUUAAUAUAGGAAAUUGUAAAGAGUAUUUAGUUGGGGUGAUUGAAAAAUUUAAUUAACUUUUUUUUUUGUUUAACAUUAAUUUAUGAAUUUUUGAUCCAUAUUUUUUGAUUAUAAGAUUAAAUUACCUUAGGGAUAACAGCGUAAUUUUUUUAGAGAGUUCAAAUCGAUAGAAGAGAUUGCGACCUCGAUGUUGGAUUAAAGUUUACUUUUAAUGCAGGAGUUAAAAUAUUAGGUCUGUUCGACCUUUAAAACUU
Molecule: ribosomal RNA, 505 nt
Filed under: Parvospeonomus canyellesi
Lineage: Eukaryota; Metazoa; Arthropoda; Insecta; Coleoptera; Leiodidae
Description: partial 16S ribosomal RNA
Rfam family: Bacterial large subunit ribosomal RNA (bases 383-505)
Source: RNAcentral